GCUAAGUAGAGACUACUUUCUUAUGUAAAACCAGUUUUUUGGCAAAAUUUGAAAAUUCGCCACAUUCUGCCAUUAUAAGCAUCAUCUUGUGCAAUGUGCAAUAGAUUAUUCUGGUACCUUAUUGCAACACUCUGAUUAGGCAGAACCCCAGGUAAGUAUAACUCACUUCAUCUCCCUUCUUACUUCCCCUGAUAUAACUUGUCAUGCCAACUUGACAUCACUACUUUAG
Non-coding RNA from Pelobates cultripes (western spadefoot toad), 229 nucleotides. Lineage: Eukaryota; Metazoa; Chordata; Amphibia; Anura; Pelobatidae. The record is from the annotation of a GenBank genome assembly.